Molecule: ribosomal RNA, 478 nt
Filed under: uncultured bacterium
Lineage: Bacteria
Description: partial 16S ribosomal RNA
Rfam family: Bacterial small subunit ribosomal RNA
Source: RNAcentral
GAUGAACGCUGGCGGCGUGCUUAACACAUGCAAGUCGAACGAGAAAUGUAGACGGACACCUUCGGGCGGAAGCCUUCAUUUCGAGUGGCGGACGGGUGAGUAACGCGUGGGUAACCUGCCUCAUACAGGGGGAUAACAGUUGGAAACGACUGUUAAUACCGCAUAAGACCACAGCAUCGCAUGAUGCGGGGGUAAAAACUCCGGUGGUAUGAGAUGGACCCGCGUUCGAUUAGCCAGUUGGCGGGGUAACGGCCCACCAAAGCGACGAUCGAUAGCCGAUCUGAGAGGAUGACCGGCCACAUUGGGACUGAGACACGGCCCAAACUCCUACGGGAGGCAGCAGUGGGGAAUAUUGCACAAUGGGGGAAACCCUGAUGCAGCGACGCCGCGUGAGUGAAGAAGUACUUCGGUAUGUAAAGCUCUAUCAGCAGGGAAGAAAAUGACGGUACCUGAGUAAGAAGCCCCGGCUAACUACGUG